GACGAACGCUGGCGGCGUGCCUAAUACAUGCAAGUCGAACGAAGCUGUUUUAACUGGUGCUUGCACCGACUUAAACAACUGAGUGGCGAACGGGUGAGUAACACGUGGGUAACCUGCCCCAAAGCGGGGGAUAACAUUUGGAAACAGAUGCUAAUACCGCAUAACCACAGAAACCACAUGGUUUCUGUGUCAAAGAUGGUUUCGGCUAUCACUUUGGGAUGGACCCGCGGCGUAUUAGCUAGUUGGUAAGGUAAUGGCUUACCAAGGCAAUGAUACGUAGCCGAAAUGAGGGGUUGCUCGGCCACAUUGGGACUGAGACACGGCCCAAACUCCUACGGGAGGCAGCAGUAGGGAAUCUUCCACAAUGGACGAAAGUCUGAUGGAGCAACGCCGCGUGAGUGAAGAAGGUUUUCGGAUCGUAAAACUCUGUUGUCAGAGAAGAACGUGUGCGAGAGUAACUGUUCGUGCAGUGACGGUAUCUGGCCAGAAAGCCACGGCUAACUACGUGCCAGCCGCCGCGGUAA
RNAcentral lists this ribosomal RNA (524 nucleotides) under uncultured bacterium. Its description in RNAcentral is "partial 16S ribosomal RNA". It matches the Rfam family "Bacterial small subunit ribosomal RNA", at positions 28 to 523 of the family's 1533-position model. The record is from RNAcentral.